This 255-nucleotide ribosomal RNA is filed under the name uncultured bacterium. RNAcentral describes it as "partial 16S ribosomal RNA". It matches the Rfam family "Bacterial small subunit ribosomal RNA", at positions 524 to 778 of the family's 1533-position model. The record is from RNAcentral.
UACGGGGGGGGGCAAGCGUUGUUCGGAAUUACUGGGCGUAAAGGGCUCGUAGGCGGCCAACUAAGUCAGACGUGAAAUCCCUCGGCUUAACCGGGGAACUGCGUCUGAUACUGGAUGGCUUGAGGUUGGGAGAGGGAUGCGGAAUUCCAGGUGUAGCGGUGAAAUGCGUAGAUAUCUGGAGGAACACCGGUGGCGAAGGCGGCAUCCUGGACCAAUUCUGACGCUGAGGAGCGAAGCCAGGGGAGCAAAACGGGG